This 597-nucleotide long non-coding RNA is filed under the name Mytilus galloprovincialis (Mediterranean mussel). Lineage: Eukaryota; Metazoa; Mollusca; Bivalvia; Mytilida; Mytilidae. The record is from RNAcentral.
UUUUAAAAAAAAAUGCGUUAUAUGAAGUACAAAUAACAUAUCGUCCAUGCUGAGUUUUUAUUCAUACAAUACCAAUACCUGAUACAUAGCCUGGUGCUGUUCCAUGUAGUUUUCUUUUUCUGUUUCUUGAGAAGUAUUUGUUUUACCUUUUCACUCACUAUAAAGUGUUACAAUUCAUAUUUAAACGCAACACAUAAAUAGUUACCAAAAAGGUACCGCAGUCGCAUGAGAGAAGCUAGAAGAAAAAAAAUGAAAUUUACGCAUUUUCGACAUUUUUGUGGGACCAUGUCGACCAUCAUAUACAAUUUUAAAAGAUGUGGUUUCAUUGUCAAUAUGACAGAUAUUCAUAGAACAAAAAAAAAAAAAAAGUGAACCGUGAUAUUCAUAUGCGGAUCUAGGAUAAAUUUUAAAAAUGGGGGUAACCGGGGGCACCAAACUUUUAAAGUCUGCUUUGACCAGAACUGUAGCCUUUAACAGGGGUGACUGCGUGAUCCCGGUCGCCGGUAACCGGGUCGCCUACCCCUAAAUUCGCUUCUGAAAUUAAAGGUAACCGCAGGGCCUUUCCUAGUCCAAAUAAUUAUGACGUCUUGAAGGCUA